RNAcentral lists this ribosomal RNA (490 nucleotides) under uncultured bacterium. RNAcentral's name for it is "partial 16S ribosomal RNA". It matches the Rfam family "Bacterial small subunit ribosomal RNA", at positions 30 to 507 of the family's 1533-position model. The record is from RNAcentral.
AUUGAACGCUGGCGGCAGGCCUAACACAUGCAAGUCGAACGGUAACAGGAAACAGCUUGCUGUUUCGCUGUCGAGUGGCGGACGGGUGAGUAAUGUCUGGGAAACUGCCUGAUGGAGGGGGAUAACUACUGGAAACGGUAGCUAAUACCGCAUAACGUCGCAAGACCGAAGAGGGGGACCUUCGGGCCUCUUGCCAUCGGAUGUGCCCAGAUGGGAUUAGUUAGUAGGUGGGGUAACGGCUCACCUAGGCGACGAUCCCUAGCUGGUCUGAGAGGAUGACCAGCCACACUGGAACUGAGACACGGUCCAGACUCCUACGGGAGGCAGCAGUGGGGAAUAUUGCACAAUGGGCGCAAGCCUGAUGCAGCCAUGCCGCGUGUAUGAAGAAGGCCUUCGGGUUGUAAAGUACUUUCAGCGGGGAGGAAGGGAGUAAAGUUAAUACCUUUACUCAUUGACGUUACCCGCAGAAGAAGCACCGGCUAACUCCGUG